RNAcentral lists this ribosomal RNA (1346 nucleotides) under uncultured bacterium. Its description in RNAcentral is "partial 16S ribosomal RNA". It matches the Rfam family "Bacterial small subunit ribosomal RNA", at positions 28 to 1381 of the family's 1533-position model. The record is from RNAcentral.
GACGAACGCUGGCGGCGUGCUUAACACAUGCAAGUCGAACGGAAAGGCCCUGCUUUUGUGGGGUGCUCGAGUGGCGAACGGGUGAGUAACACGUGAGUAACCUGCCCUUGACUUUGGGAUAACUUCAGGAAACUGGGGCUAAUACCGGAUAGGAGCUCCUGCUGCAUGGUGGGGGUUGGAAAGUUUCGGCGGUUGGGGAUGGACUCGCGGCGUAUCAGCUUGUUGGUGGGGUAGUGGCUUACCAAGGCUUUGACGGGUAGCCGGCCUGAGAGGGUGACCGGCCACAUUGGGACUGAGAUACGGCCCAGACUCCUACGGGAGGCAGCAGUGGGGAAUAUUGCACAAUGGGCGGAAGCCUGAUGCAGCAACGCCGCGUGCGGGAUGACGGCCUUCGGGUUGUAAACCGCUUUCGCCUGUGACGAAGCGUGAGUGACGGUAAUGGGUAAAGAAGCACCGGCUAACUACGUGCCAGCAGCCGCGGUGAUACGUAGGGUGCGAGCGUUGUCCGGAUUUAUUGGGCGUAAAGGGCUCGUAGGUGGUUGAUCGCGUCGGAAGUGUAAUCUUGGGGCUUAACCCUGAGCGUGCUUUCGAUACGGGUUGACUUGAGGAAGGUAGGGGAGAAUGGAAUUCCUGGUGGAGCGGUGGAAUGCGCAGAUAUCAGGAGGAACACCAGUGGCGAAGGCGGUUCUCUGGGCCUUUCCUGACGCUGAGGAGCGAAAGCGUGGGGAGCGAACAGGCUUAGAUACCCUGGUAGUCCACGCUGUAAACGGUGGGUACUAGGUGUGGGGUCCAUUCCACGGGUUCCGUGCCGUAGCUAACGCUUUAAGUACCCCGCCUGGGGAGUACGGCCGCAAGGCUAAAACUCAAAGGAAUUGACGGGGCCCCGCACAAGCGGCGGAGCAUGCGGAUUAAUUCGAUGCAACGCGUAGAACCUUACCUGGGUUUGACAUGGAUCGGGAGUGCUCAGAGAUGGGUGUGCCUCUUUUGGGGUCGGUUCACAGGUGGUGCAUGGCUGUCGUCAGCUCGUGUCGUGAGAUGUUGGGUUAAGUCCCGCAACGAGCGCAACCCUUGUUCACUGUUGCCAGCACGUUAUGGUGGGGACUCAGUGGAGACCGCCGGGGUCAACUCGGAGGAAGGUGGGGAUGACGUCAAGUCAUCAUGCCCCUUAUGUCCAGGGCUUCACGCAUGCUACAAUGGCUGGUACAGAGAGUGGCGAGCCUGUGAGGGUGAGCGAAUCUCGGAAAGCCGGUCUCAGUUCGGAUUGGGGUCUGCAACUCGACCUCAUGAAGUCGGAGUCGCUAGUAAUCGCAGAUCAGCAACGCUGCGGUGAAUACGUUCCCGGGGCU